Molecule: ribosomal RNA, 450 nt
Filed under: uncultured bacterium
Lineage: Bacteria
Description: bacterial SSU rRNA
Rfam family: Bacterial small subunit ribosomal RNA
Source: RNAcentral
CCCAGACUCCUACGGGAGGCAGCAGUGGGGAAUAUUGGACAAUGGGGGGAACCCUGAUCCAGCGACGCCGCGUGAGUGAAGAAGUAUUUCGGUAUGUAAAGCUCUAUCAGCAGGGAAGAAAGAAAUGACGGUACCUGACUAAGAAGCCCCGGCUAACUACGUGCCAGCAGCCGCGGUAAUACGUAGGGGGCAAGCGUUAUCCGGAUUUACUGGGUGUAAAGAGUUGCGUAGGUGGCAUAAUAAGUAGCUAGUGAAAUCUGGUGGCUCAACCAUUCAGACUAUUAGCUAAACUGUUAAGCUCGAGACCGUUAGGGGUAACUGGAAUUUCUAGUGUAGGGGUGAAAUCCGUAGAUAUUAGAAGGAACACCAAUAGCGUAGGCAGGUUGCUGGGACGGUUCUGACACUAAGGCACGAAAGCGUAGGGAGCAAACGGGAUUAGAUACCCUAGUA